GUCAAAGCAUUUAUUAGAUUAAACCAUCUACUACUUUGUAGUAAGACGAAUCUAGAUAACUUUGCUGAUCGUAUGGCCUCGUGCCGGCGACGUUUCAAUUGAGUUUCUGCCCUAUUAACUUGUUGGUAAGGUAUUGGCUUACCAAGGUUGCAAUGGGUAACGGGGAAUCAGGGUUCGAUUCCGGAGAUGGAGCCUGAGAAACGGCUACAACAUCCAAGGAAGGCAACAGGCGCGCAAAUUACCCAAUCUAGACAGUAGGAGGUGGUGAAGAGAAUUACUAAGUGGUGGAUCAAUGAUCUACCAACUUGGAAUGGACGUAACUUAAGAAAUUCGUUGAUAAACAACUGGAGGGCAAGUCCUGGUGCCAGCAGCCGCGGUAAUUCCAGCUCCAGUAGUUUGCUUUAAAGUUGUUGCGUUUAAAACGCUCGUAGUUGGAUCAUGCAACAGUGUUCGGUAGUCUUUUCAUACGUCUAGAAUUUUCGUGGUGCUCAUCGAAAGACGACUCCCGAUCUCUAGACGUUGAUAGAUCUAAAAGCCGACCACUGUUAAUUGCACGUGAGAUGGAUUGUUGACCUUUAGUGAGUCGGUAAUCCUGUCUUGCGGAGUGUGCCUUGAAUAAAACAGAGUGCUUAAAGCAGGUUUACGCCUGAAUGUUAUAGCAUGGAACGAACAAUAGUGUAUACGUGCACGUUCUUUGAUAGCGUUAGACUUAUGGUUUGGCGUUGUUGGAGGCGUGUACAUCACCCACCAAAAUAUGGCUGUUGGUUCCAUAUACGGUGAUGAUUAAAAGGAGCGGUUGGAGGCAUCGGUAUUUGGCAGC
This 820-nucleotide ribosomal RNA is filed under the name Myxobolus encephalicus. Its description in RNAcentral is "bacterial SSU rRNA". It matches the Rfam family "Eukaryotic small subunit ribosomal RNA", at positions 197 to 905 of the family's 1831-position model. The record is from RNAcentral. Lineage: Eukaryota; Metazoa; Cnidaria; Myxozoa; Bivalvulida; Myxobolidae.